UGAGGUUGUGGUGUUGAAGUGUUGAGGUUGUGGUGUUGAGGUUGUGGUGAUGAGGUUGUGGUGUUGAGGUUUGUGGUGUUGAGGUUGUGGUGUUGAGGUUGUGGUGUUGAGGUUGUAGUUGUGGCGUUGAGGUUGUGGUGAUGAGGUUGUGGUGUUGAGGUUGUGGUGUUGUG
Molecule: long non-coding RNA, 173 nt
Organism: Oncorhynchus keta (chum salmon)
Lineage: Eukaryota; Metazoa; Chordata; Actinopteri; Salmoniformes; Salmonidae
Exons: 3
Source: RefSeq, a predicted model, not a curated record